UGCAGUCGAGCGGAACGAUCCCAGCUUGCUGGGAGGCGUCGAGCGGCGGACGGGUGAGUAAUGCAUAGGAAUCUGCCCGGUAGUGGGGGAUAACUUGAGGAAACUCAAGCUAAUACCGCAUACGCCCUACGGGGGAAAGCAGGGGCUCUUCGGACCUUGCGCUAUCGGAUGAGCUUAUGUCGGAUUAGCUAGUUGGUGAGGUAACGGCUUACCAAGGCGACGAUCCGUAGCUGGUCUGAGAGGAUGAUCAGCCACAUCGGGACUGAGACACGGCCCGAACUCCUACGGGAGGCAGCAGUGGGGAAUAUUGGACAAUGGGCGAAAGCCUGAUCCAGCCAUGCCGCGUGUGUGAAGAAGGCCCUCGGGUUGUAAAGCACUUUCAGUGAGGAAGAAGGCUUGUCGGUUAAUACCCGGCAGGAAAGACAUCACUCACAGAAGAAGCCCCGGCUAACUCCGUGCCAGCAGCCGCGGUAAUACGGAGGGGGCAAGCGUUAAUCGGAAUUACUGGGCGUAAAGCGUGCGUAGGCGGCUUGGUAAGCCGGUUGUGAAAGCCCCGGGCUCAACCUGGGAAUGGCAUCCGGAACUGUCAGGCUAGAGUGCAGGAGAGGAAGGUAGAAUUCCCGGUGUAGCGGUGAAAUGCGUAGAGAUCGGGAGGAAUACCAGUGGCGAAGGCGGCCUUCUGGACUGACACUGACGCUGAGGUACGAAAGCGUGGGUAGCAAACAGGAUUAGAUACCCUGGUAGUCCACGCCGUAAACGAUGUCGACUAGCCGUUGGGGUCCUUGAGACCUUUGUGGCGCAGUUAACGCACUAAGUCGACCGCCUGGGGAGUACGGCCGCAAGGUUAAAACUCAAAUGAAUUGACGGGGGCCCGCACAAGCGGUGGAGCAUGUGGUUUAAUUCGAUGCAACGCGAGAAUCUUUACCUACUC
RNAcentral lists this ribosomal RNA (931 nucleotides) under Halomonas halmophila. Its description in RNAcentral is "bacterial SSU rRNA". It matches the Rfam family "Bacterial small subunit ribosomal RNA", at positions 56 to 980 of the family's 1533-position model. The record is from RNAcentral. Lineage: Bacteria; Pseudomonadati; Pseudomonadota; Gammaproteobacteria; Oceanospirillales; Halomonadaceae.